RNAcentral lists this small RNA (26 nucleotides) under Bombyx mori (domestic silkworm). RNAcentral describes it as "ovarian small RNA-36363". Lineage: Eukaryota; Metazoa; Arthropoda; Insecta; Lepidoptera; Bombycidae. The record is from RNAcentral.
UUAAGCCAUGCAUGUCUCAGUGCAAG